CCUACGGGAGGCAGCAGUGAGGAAUAUUGGUCAAUGGGCGCGAGCCUGAACCAGCCAAGUCGCGUGAGGGAAGACGGUCCUAUGGAUUGUAAACCUCUUUUGUCGGGGAGCAAAAGACGCCACGCGUGGCGUUCCGAGAGUACCCGAAGAAAAAGCAUCGGCUAACACCGUGCCAGCAGCCGCGGUAAUAGGGGGGAUGCGAGCGUUAUCCGGAUUUCUUGGGUUAAAAGGGUGCGCAGGCGGAAGAUCAAGUCAGCGGUAAAAUUGAGAGGCUCAACCUCUUCGAGCCGUUGAAACUGGUUUUCUUGAGUGAGCGAGAGGUAUGCGGAAUGCGUGGUGUAGCGGUGAAAUGCAUAGAUAUCACGCAGAACUCCGAUUGCGAAGGCAGCAUACCGGCGCUCAACUGACGCUCAUGCACGAAAGUGUGGGUAGCGAACAGGAUUAGAUACCCCAGUAGUC
This 459-nucleotide ribosomal RNA is filed under the name uncultured bacterium. RNAcentral's name for it is "partial 16S ribosomal RNA". It matches the Rfam family "Bacterial small subunit ribosomal RNA", at positions 338 to 795 of the family's 1533-position model. The record is from RNAcentral.